This 891-nucleotide unclassified non-coding RNA is filed under the name Hevea brasiliensis (rubber tree). The record is from RNAcentral. Lineage: Eukaryota; Viridiplantae; Streptophyta; Magnoliopsida; Malpighiales; Euphorbiaceae.
UUUUAAACGUUAUCAAUGGAUGGUUGAAAGAAAGAUUGAGAAAGAACAAGGACGACAAGUCCAAAGAUGAUAUCCACCAAGCCAGCAUAAAUAACAACUUACAAACUGGAGAUAGAAUGAAUGUGCCCCAGUUUCAUCACUUAUACCAUCGAAAUCUAAGGGACACCUUAUACGACGAAAAGGCCAACUUAUAGGAAGACCCAACAGAUUUUAAAGCAAGAACAUCAUACUUCAGUUCAUAUAAAACAUUGAAUAGAUGCUUCCUAGAUCUUGUUUAGCUUUUCUGCUACAACAACAGGAUUUGCUUUAGCAAUAGCAUCCCGUCCAGCAUUCUUAUAGUCAAAUGGGCACUCGUGCUUGUCAGAAUAACGGUGAGCCGCACAGAAAAGAUUCCCACACUUGCAAUUGAAUCCUGUCAAGCCAACACGCUUGCGGCAAGUAGUGCACCUAGUUGGGCCCUCUUUUGGCUUCACCUCUGAACUUGGACCUGAAGAUAAAUCAGAAGAUGCUUCUGUAGAGAUAACCUUCAAGUCUGCUGAUCCCGGUUGAACAUUGAUUGCACCAGUCGCAAUAGGCUCUUUGCCAUUGCUGCUUGAGUUUCCAUUUACUAUGUUUUCAAUUGAUGUUGCUGCAAAUUUAGCUUGUUCCUGCUUCAGUAUCAUGUCCUUGUGACACUUGGAACACAUAUUCAUAGUGGCUGCACUACCAAAGAACCCGCAGUUGUUGAUGCAAAGGAUGGGACCUUCGGGAGCUUGGCAGCCUGUUUCUUUGGAAGACUCCAUUUUGUGCAGCAGUUAACCUGAAUCGAAGAAUCGAAAGGCGAAGAAAAGAGGGCGAAAUUGAGAAAAAUUGGAGAGAGACCUGAAAAGAGAGGAAGAAAGAGAAAAUGGG